Long non-coding RNA from Eubalaena glacialis (North Atlantic right whale), 1234 nucleotides. RefSeq lists it as uncharacterized. The record is from RefSeq and is a predicted model, not a curated record. NCBI's taxonomy places the organism in Eukaryota, Metazoa, Chordata, Mammalia, Artiodactyla, Balaenidae. The transcript has 3 exons.
GCGGGAAGUGGGGGUCGCGGCGGGGGCGCCCGGGAACACAAUGGGCGCUUGUGUGCCGAUGCGGCAGCCGGCGCCCUGAGCAGACACCGCCCUGUUCCGGCCGCACACCGUGUCCUGGGCCGGGCGGCCGCGGCGCCGGGCCUGCGGGGAGGGCGCAGCAGGGCUGGGCACGCGCGGAGGCUGGAGCGUCCCGCCCGCCGGGCUCCCCGCGGCUCCACUGUGGCCGCCCCACCAGGCCCCCCGGCUCCUCUCUCAGGGGGUGGCCGUGGCCUGUGUCCCUCAGCCCGUGUCCCAGGGCCUGGCCAUCCUGGCUCCGUGUGGCAACUGGACUCAGAGGCCAGCCGACCCCGGCACAGGGCCCAGCCCAGGCCCUCUCGGAGAAGUUCAAAAAAGGAAAAGAAGGACUCCCCUGGUGGCGCAGUGGUUAAGAAUCCGCCUGCUAAUGCAGGGGACACGGGUUCGAGCCCUGGUCUGGGAAGAUCCCACAUGCCGCGGAGCAACUAAGCCCAUGCGCCACAACUACAGAGCCUGCGCUCUAGAGCCCGUGAGCCACAACUACUGAGCCCACGAGCCACAACUACUGAGCCCGCGUGCCUAGAGCCUGUGCUCCACAAAAAGAGAAGCUACCGCAAUGAGAAGCCCGCGCACCACAACAAAGAGUAGCCCCCGCUCGCCCCAACUAGAGAAAAGCCCAUGCGCAGCAACGAAGACCCAAUGCAGCCAAAAAUAAAUAAAUAAAAUAAAUAAAUUCAAAAAAAAAAAAAGGAAAAGAAGAACUUCCCUGGUGGUCCAGUGGUUAAGAGUCUGCACUUCCACUGCAGGGGGCGUGGGUUCGAUCCCUGGGUGGGGAAAUUCCGCAUGCUGUGGAGUGAGGCAAAAAAAUUUUAAAAAAAGGAAAAGAAGAUCUGGUCUUGAUUCAGAGGAGAGGAGCCCUCAAGACCAGCUCCAGCUCCACCCAAUAAAAAGUGAAUUCACAUGGGUGGCUCAAUUCUCACCGGCGAGGAGGGGCCCCACGGAUGGUGCCGCUCUGGACCCUCGCUGGGGUUCGGGAGCCUGUUAGAAAUGCAGAACGCCAACCAAAGACUCACUGGCCGCCCUGGUGAUCCCAGGGCACCUUUGAGUUCCCAAGCCUGGGGCUGGGGGCCUCGAGGUGGUGGGGAGAUAUGCCCAGGAAAUGUCUUUUUUUAAAAAAAAAUACAUAUUUUAAUUGUUAAAUGUAACAUACAUGCAGAAA